GCGACCUUAGCUCAGUUGGUAGAGCGGAAGACUGUAGUCUGUGACAGCAUAUCUUUAGGUCGCUGGUUCGAUUCCGGCAGGUCGGA
RNAcentral lists this transfer RNA (86 nucleotides) under Brassica rapa (field mustard). It matches the Rfam family "tRNA". From Rfam's summary of the family: Transfer RNA (tRNA) molecules are approximately 80 nucleotides in length. Their secondary structure includes four short double-helical elements and three loops (D, anti-codon, and T loops). The record is from Rfam by way of RNAcentral. Lineage: Eukaryota; Viridiplantae; Streptophyta; Magnoliopsida; Brassicales; Brassicaceae.